GUGCUCGCUUUGGCAGCACAUAUACUAAAAUUGGAACUAUACAGAGAAGAUUAGCAUGGCCCCUGUGCAAGGAUGACACGCAAAUUCGUGAAGCAUUCCAUAUUUUU
This 107-nucleotide small nuclear RNA is filed under the name Cebus imitator (Panamanian white-faced capuchin). Lineage: Eukaryota; Metazoa; Chordata; Mammalia; Primates; Cebidae. The record is from RNAcentral.